GACGGAGGGAGCAAGCGUUGUUCGGAUUUACUGGGCGUAAAGGGCGUCUAGGCGGGCUGGUCAGUCAGAUGUGAAACCCCCCGGCUCAACCGGGGACCGGCAUUUGAUACUACCAGUCUUGAGUACGGAAGAGGAAAGCGGAAUUCCUGGUGUAGCGGUGAAAUGCGUAGAUAUCAGGAAGAACACCGGUGGCGAAGGCGGCUUUCUGGUCCGAUACUGACGCUGAAGCGCGAAAGUGCGGGGAGCAAAC
Molecule: ribosomal RNA, 250 nt
Filed under: uncultured bacterium
Lineage: Bacteria
Description: partial 16S ribosomal RNA
Rfam family: Bacterial small subunit ribosomal RNA
Source: RNAcentral